CUACGAUCCACACGACUCCGGAGUGUACGUCGGUUACGCUCUGCCAGCUGUGCCAUAGACAGCACCAUACUAUGCUGCACCGCACCCCAAAGCGGGCCGUCGGGCGAAAACUCGCCCCAAGCCGCAGAUCGCAGCAGAGCAGCCAUCCGGAGCACCACCGAAGACAGGCAGUUCCACCUCCAUCCAGACCGAGACGACAGGAGGCAUCAACGCGGCGUCGGCAGCCCAGGCCAACAUACCGCCGCUCCACUGGCCUCAGCAGCGUUGUUGCCACGCUGCAGCAACUCCAGCGGUUGCUAGGCUAAAAUUCGCCUAGGGGGGCCGGGAUGGCUAGAUGAGUUACGCCUCCCCCCUCCAUACGCGCCACUGAGCGCCAACACACCACAUCAACACGAUCCACAAGAAGACUCCACCCAUUAACACACACAAACACACACCACCCCUGCAGACAUCACACCACGCAGAUAUCACACCACACAGACCACCCACACAUACACAUCACAUCCUACCACAACUCUACACUACCCAACACUCAAAAGGGAGUAACAAUAGACCAAAAAGCUUCUUUCUCAUCAGCGAAUCGCCCCGAUCAGACGUCCGCAAGUUUCCGCCCGUGUUCCCUUUUUAUACGCCGUAUCAUUUUUCGUUAAAGUGCAAAAAGGUUAGUGUACAAGUGAAACGAUUAAAUAAUAUUCAUAUUAUUUUAUUUUGCUAUAAUCCAUUUCAACAUAAAAUAUGUGCUAUUUCUCCUCGUUUGAACUUCCUGCAACAAAUUGUAGAGGUUUUCUAUUUCCUGCACUUGAACACACUCAUGAAAAAUUCAGUAUGCUAUUGUACUAUAUUUAAAAAAAGAUACAAUGUCUCAACAUUAUUUCCGCAAAUGUGCAAGAUCUUCCCUCCGUAACAAACUAUCUUGAACCGCCAGGUUUAGUGUAUGCUCAUAGCAACCAAUAUGCGUUUUUUCAGUAGAGUACAAGCAUUAAUCUGUCACUGGCAUUAUGUCACUAUACCACGAACUUUUUGGAUAAUUUCCCAAUCAUUCAAUACCCUCUGUAUAAAAUAAGCUAAGUAUAUUUGUUGCGUUAUAAUUUGUUGGAUCUUUCAGUUUUUUCGUUGACAGGACACACGAUUUUAGUUCAAAAUUUACAAGAAAUUGGCGAGUGAUGAUAACGUAAGACUCAUUUGAAGUGGAGGAGCAGGCGUCUCAUCAUAUCAACACUAAACUUUUGGCACACGGCAACACAAAUCGUGGAUACAAUUUUUGAACUCUUCACCACACACUAUGUUUAUAGGUUGAUAACCCUUAGUCACUAAACGCGACAAAGCGUCUUCGAUGUUUUUUUUUUACUUUUUGAAUUCUUUUCGUAUUCAAUGGCUCUACUGAAAUAUGACGCAACUGAUCUUAUGCUAGAUUGACGACUGCCAGAAGUACUAGGAUAAUCAAUGUCCAAGGACUCUUCAUUGUUGUCGCAAUCGCGAUGAAAUCUUAUCAAAUGAUCACGCAAGUUACUCGUAUUCCCACUCGUUUUGUAUUCU
Molecule: long non-coding RNA, 1536 nt
Organism: Bactrocera oleae (olive fruit fly)
Lineage: Eukaryota; Metazoa; Arthropoda; Insecta; Diptera; Tephritidae
Source: RefSeq, a predicted model, not a curated record